Molecule: ribosomal RNA, 433 nt
Filed under: uncultured bacterium
Lineage: Bacteria
Description: partial 16S ribosomal RNA
Rfam family: Bacterial small subunit ribosomal RNA
Source: RNAcentral
AACGAACGCUGGUGGCAUGCCUAACACAUGCAAGUCGAACGAGACCUUCGGGUCUAGUGGCGCACGGGUGCGUAACGCGUGGGAACCUGCCCUUAGGUUCGGAAUAACUCCCCGAAAGGGGUGCUAAUACCGGAUAAUGUCUUCAGACCAAAGAUUUAUCGCCUUUGGAUGGGCCCGCGUUGGAUUAGCUAGUUGGUAGGGUAAAAGCCUACCAAGGCGACGAUCCAUAGCUGGUCUGAGAGGAUGAUCAGCCACACUGGGACCGAGACACGGCCCAGACUCCUACGGGAGGCAGCAGUGGGGAAUAUUGGACAAUGGGCGAAAGCCUGAUCCAGCAAUGCCGCGUGAGUGAUGAAGGCCUUAGGGUUGUAAAGCUCUUUUACCCGGGAUGAUAAUGACAGUACCGGGAGAAUAAGCUCCGGCUAACUCCGUG